AUGAACGCUGGCGGCGUGCCUAAUACAUGCACGUCGAGCGAACGGACGAGAAGCUUGCUUCUCUGAUGUUAGCGGCGGACGGGUGAGUAACACGUGGAUAACCUACCUAUAAGACUGGGAUAACUUCGGGAAACCGGAGCUAAUACCGGAUAAUAUUUUGAACCGCAUGGUUCAAAAGUGAAAGACGGUCUUGCUGUCACUUAUAGAUGGAUCCGCGCUGCAUUAGCUAGUUGGUAAGGUAACGGCUUACCAAGGCAACGAUGCAUAGCCGACCUGAGAGGGUGAUCGGCCACACUGGAACUGAGACACGGUCCAGACUCCUACGGGAGGCAGCAGUAGGGAAUCUUCCGGAAUGGGCGAAAGCCUGACGGAGCAACGCCGCGUGAGUGAUGAGGGUCUUCGGAUCGUAAAACUCUGUUAUUAGGGAAGAACAUAUGUGUAAGUAACUGUGCACAUCUUGACGGUACCUAAUCAGAAAGCCACGGCUAACUACGUG
This 496-nucleotide ribosomal RNA is filed under the name uncultured bacterium. Its description in RNAcentral is "partial 16S ribosomal RNA". It matches the Rfam family "Bacterial small subunit ribosomal RNA", at positions 29 to 507 of the family's 1533-position model. The record is from RNAcentral.